This is a long non-coding RNA of Xiphophorus couchianus (Monterrey platyfish), 1118 nucleotides long. RefSeq lists it as uncharacterized. The transcript has 4 exons. NCBI's taxonomy places the organism in Eukaryota, Metazoa, Chordata, Actinopteri, Cyprinodontiformes, Poeciliidae. The record is from RefSeq and is a predicted model, not a curated record.
UUUGCUUUGCUGGCUUUUCCAAGUGGUUAAACAUAACAAUCACGGGUUUAAUUUCAUCACAGUAUCGGUAAACAAUGAAAAGCGGGUAACCGACCCUGCCACUUUUAACCGACAAAGUCACUUCUACCUUCUUUGUUUGACUGUUUUUUUUUUCGAGAAACAUUUUAACUUUAAAACUCGGAGCUGGUUUUCUGCUCGGUGCAGCUCAGAUCAUUAGCAGCGGAUGUGACACCUGUUGACAAUAAAGCAGCACUGCAAAUCAUCAGCUUCACGUUCUGCUUUGGGAAGGACUUUUAGUCACAAGAACUGAUGGGGAACAGGCUCCUGCAGAAGUCUUGUUCCUUGAAGAAAGCCAUAUGUGUGAGGAUAAUCAGACAGGAGAAAGAAGCUCUCGGAUAAUGUGCAUCUGAUGCUUGUCUCUGGCAUCUAAAGGAAAUCAGAGUUGUUGGAACAGCUUGAUCAGCCACGCCAGGUUGACACGGGAGGGACGGCCCGCCGCGUCGGGAAACACCCCAAAGUGGAGGAAGGCCAGCCAGGUGCAGGGCGGAUGGCGAGCUGGGCAGUUCAAGAUCAGCAGCAGCCCCGCCGCCUCGGCCCCGAUGAUGUAAUCAUUUCCCAGCGGCACCUGGGAGCCGCGGUCGCCAUCCUGAGGCAUCGCUCACAGCCAAAUAUGCAGAUGUUUCUAAUUGCUUUCCAUUACCAACAAUAACAGCUGUUUAUAUCUAUCAGCAAAUAAUUCACAAGAGUUCCAGACUGUUAGGAUAACAUAUCCCACCUGGUCACCAUCACCAGUUGUCAGCAGCAGAGACCAGGCCGCUCGUUCACAAAUCCCCCAACGGGCUCGGGCUUCCAGUCACCUUCAGCUCCAACGUCAGGCUUUACACAGCCGAGAUAUGCAGGGAAUGUUUUACUCGAACAUGAUGUGCUUUAGUAUGUUUCUGAUUUAGAAUAAAAUAGAAAUAUCCUGUAUUGCCCAAAAAUGAGAGGAAAACCUGGUGUAAUAAAGUGACAGGAAUCGAAGCAUGUAGAAUUAAAAACGGAGGCAAAAUUACAACAUAAAAUGCUGUGCAGUUUUUAAAAGUCCAAUUAAAAGCAAUAUGCACCUGUGUAGCAUGUUU